AUCGAGCUGACGAGUCCCAAAUAGGACGAAACGCGCGUCCCGGAU
This 45-nucleotide non-coding RNA is filed under the name Schistosoma margrebowiei. Lineage: Eukaryota; Metazoa; Platyhelminthes; Trematoda; Strigeidida; Schistosomatidae. The record is from RNAcentral.